This 910-nucleotide ribosomal RNA is filed under the name bacterium. Its description in RNAcentral is "bacterial SSU rRNA". It matches the Rfam family "Bacterial small subunit ribosomal RNA", at positions 48 to 969 of the family's 1533-position model. The record is from RNAcentral.
CUUACCAUGCAAGUCGAACGAUGAUCNCCAGCUUGCUGGGGGGAUUAGUGGCGAACGGGUGAGUAACACGUGAGUAACCUGCCCUUGACUCUGGGAUAAGCCUGGGAAACUGGGUCUAAUACCGGAUACGACCAUCUGGCGCAUGUCAUGGUGGUGGAAAGCUUUUGUGGUUUUGGAUGGACUCGCGGCCUAUCAGCUUGUUGGUGGGGUAAUGGCCUACCAAGGCGACGACGGGUAGCCGGCCUGAGAGGGUGACCGGCCACACUGGGACUGAGACACGGCCCAGACUCCUACGGGAGGCAGCAGUGGGGAAUAUUGCACAAUGGGCGCAAGCCUGAUGCAGCGACGCCGCGUGAGGGAUGACGGCCUUCGGGUUGUAAACCUCUUUCAGUAGGGAAGAAGCGAAAGUGACGGUACCUGCAGAAGAAGCGCCGGCUAACUACGUGCCAGCAGCCGCGGUAAUACGUAGGGCGCAAGCGUUAUCCGGAAUUAUUGGGCGUAAAGAGCUCGUAGGCGGUUUGUCGCGUCUGCUGUGAAAGACCGGGGCUCAACUCCGGUUCUGCAGUGGGUACGGGCAGACUAGAGUGCAGUAGGGGAGACUGGAAUUCCUGGUGUAGCGGUGAAAUGCGCAGAUAUCAGGAGGAACACCGAUGGCGAAGGCAGGUCUCUGGGCUGUAACUGACGCUGAGGAGCGAAAGCAUGGGGAGCGAACAGGAUUAGAUACCCUGGUAGUCCAUGCCGUAAACGUUGGGCACUAGGUGUGGGGGACAUUCCACGUUUUCCGCGCCGUAGCUAACGCAUUAAGUGCCCCGCCUGGGGAGUACGGCCGCAAGGCUAAAACUCAAAGGAAUUGACGGGGGCCCGCACAAGCGGCGGAGCAUGCGGAUUAAUUCGAUGCAACGCGAAGAAC